UACGAAGGGGGCUAGCGUUGCUCGGAAUUACUGGGCGUAAAGCGCACGUAGGCGGUCUUUUAAGUCGGGGGUGAAAUCCUGGAGCUCAACUCCGAGAACUGCCUUCGAUACUGGAAGACUUGAGUCCGGGAGAGGUGAGUGGAACUGCGAGUGUAGAGGUGAAAUUCGUAGAUAUUCGCAAGAACACCAGUGGCGAAGGCGGCUCACUGGCCCGGUACUGACGCUGAGGUGCGAAAGCGUGGGGAGCAAACAGG
RNAcentral lists this ribosomal RNA (254 nucleotides) under uncultured bacterium. RNAcentral describes it as "partial 16S ribosomal RNA". It matches the Rfam family "Bacterial small subunit ribosomal RNA", at positions 524 to 776 of the family's 1533-position model. The record is from RNAcentral.